This 185-nucleotide small nucleolar RNA is filed under the name Exophiala spinifera. Lineage: Eukaryota; Fungi; Ascomycota; Eurotiomycetes; Chaetothyriales; Herpotrichiellaceae. The record is from RNAcentral.
AAGUCUCUUGCCUCGCUCGAUCAACCGCUUUCCAUCGGCUGAUCUUGAGCUGGAUGCUGACCUGCCCUGCAUCUGCGGAGAGGUCUAGCACGAGACGAGAGCAAUCUGUACCAAGACGUGCUGAUUUUUGAGUACGAUGUCAUCUCUUCGCAUGGUGAAUCAUUGUAAUUUAUGCGGCAAGACAU